RNAcentral lists this ribosomal RNA (460 nucleotides) under uncultured bacterium. RNAcentral's name for it is "bacterial SSU rRNA". It matches the Rfam family "Bacterial small subunit ribosomal RNA", at positions 30 to 486 of the family's 1533-position model. The record is from RNAcentral.
AUUGAACGCUGGCGGAAUGCUUUACACAUGCAAGUCGAACGGCAGCACGGACUUCGGUCUGGUGGCGAGUGGCGAACGGGUGAGUAAUAUAUCGGAACGUAUCCAAUAAUGGGGAUAACUAAUCGAAAGGUUGGCUAAUACCGCAUACGCCUACGGGGAAAGCUAGGGACCUUCGGGCCUGGCGUUAAUGGAGCGGCUGAUAUCUGAUUAGCUAGUUGGUGAGGUAAAGGCUCACCAAGGCGACGAUCAGUAGCUGGUCUGAGAGGACGACCAGCCACACUGGAACUGAGACACGGUCCAGACUCCUACGGGAGGCAGCAGUGGGGAAUUUUGGACAAUGGGCGCAAGCCUGAUCCAGCCAUUCCGCGUGAGUGAAGAAGGCCUGGUGUAAGACUCUUUCGUCAAGGGAAGAAAAAUUAACGACUCUAACAUAGACGUGAUGAUGACGGUACCUUGAUAA